Molecule: non-coding RNA, 1696 nt
Organism: Pelobates cultripes (western spadefoot toad)
Lineage: Eukaryota; Metazoa; Chordata; Amphibia; Anura; Pelobatidae
Source: the annotation of a GenBank genome assembly
GUGGAGCUUCUUGCAUAGGCGUUCAGUAUAUAUCUGCAAUCAUAUGAAUACAAAACAAUAGUGCAACAUUGUUAUAACAAAAAUAAUUUACAAUCUUCCAUUGUAUUAACCAGGGAAAGGCAACCUUUGGCACUCAGAUUAUUUGGACUACAUCUCCCUUAAUGCUCUUACACCCAUAAUGAUAGCAAAGCAUUAUGGGAGGUGUAGUCCAAAACAUCUGGAGUGCCGAAGGUUGCCUAUUCCUGUAUUAGGCUAACCUAAAACAUCUAUUUAAAAAACUGAGGACCCAGAGAAUUAUUUUAAAGUCCCAGGUACUGUUCAGUAAACAAACAAAUUGAAAGAAUUAGGAAAAAUUCCAAGUCGGCUCUAAUCAGUUUGGCUAUUUUGGCCUACAUUUUGGAAUUCAGUUUUCACUUUACUAUAAUUCAAGGUUUAGUGCAUAAAACCUCUAUUAGUCAUCUCUUUUUUUUUAGCCACAUUGCUUAGUGAGUAAAUAUAUGGCUGUGUCAGUAAAAACAAAACGAAUAGCCAUUUGUGCAUAUAAUGCAAACACAGCGAGCAUUUUCUUCACACGUAAAAUGAUUGCAAUAUUUAACAAGUACAGUACCCGUGCACCAUUUUUGUGAGGUGGGGGUAGGAAGUCACAAAACCCACACACGAUUCUGUUUUGGUACAAUAUUUACAACUGAAACGUUUAGUGCCUAAAUUACUUCUAAUCCGACCUGGGAAAUAAAAAGGUCAAUUUAAACAGAAACCUUGUAAAAUCAGUAAAAUGAAAACAUUGUUGCAAAAUAGAAGCCAAUAUAAGAGUUGGGAUAAAGAAAAUAAAAAUACACAAACACACACGCAGUCUUCCUGAUGCUUCUAUUUUGGCCCAAUCUUGUCAUUUGUUUGACAGUCAUCUGCAGUUCAUAAUUUAAAGCAGUUCCCAGCCCAGUCCUUAAGGCGACUAAAGGCUGGACUGUUAUGUGCUAUGAGGACUGAGCUGGGAACAUUGAUUAAAGUGUAUCAACAGCCCAUGACAGUGGUCUAGGGCAGACGUGCAAAAAAGGCAGAGUUGUAAAACUACAACUCCCAUGAUGCUUUGCAGGCCUUAAGAAUGCUUACAGGAUGACAAAGCAUCAUGGAAGUUGUAGUUUUCAAACAUCUGGGGAUAUACCUUUUGGGCACCCCUGGUUUAGGGGGUGUUACAGAAAGGACACACUUGGGCUUAGGGAAGAAAUAAAAGUAAAAAAUAUAAAUACAUUUUUGUAUGUAGUGCCCUACGUUUCUCCAUUUCAUUUGAGUUUGCCACCAAUUGAUAAACAGUACUACGGAAUAUUUGUUAAAGAAUCAAGCUUGUGAUUGGCUCACGGCUCACUUAGCUCAAGUUAAUCACAGAAUUACUUUUCAGAACUGCAGACUGAAGAAGGCACGAACAUCAAUAUCACCAGCUAUUAUUGGACUACAAUUCCCAUCAGCCAUUACCUGUCACCAAUGAGUCUUGGAUAGAAAGGGGUCAGGACACUUUUAGUUCAGAUUUUGUGUAGCUUUGCUUUAGAAGCCUAUUCAUUUGUUAACAGCUGAAGCCAGCUGCACAGUUGACACGGGCUCAGGAACUCUGCACCCCCAUGUUAAAGGCCUACAAUUCCCAUAAAUCUUUUCAUACAAUAGAUGACCAGAGAAUCAUGGGAGUUGUAGUGCAACAACACCUGGG